Molecule: ribosomal RNA, 1180 nt
Filed under: Salmonella enterica subsp. enterica serovar Typhimurium
Lineage: Bacteria; Pseudomonadati; Pseudomonadota; Gammaproteobacteria; Enterobacterales; Enterobacteriaceae
Description: bacterial LSU rRNA
Rfam family: Bacterial large subunit ribosomal RNA
Source: RNAcentral
GGGUUGUGAGGUUAAGCGACUAAGCGUACACGGUGGAUGCCCUGGCAGUCAGAGGCGAUGAAGGGCGUGCUAAUCUGCGAUAAGCGCCGGUAAGGUGAUAUGAACCGUUAUAACCGGCGAUACCCGAAUGGGGAAACCCAGUGUGAUUCGUCACACUAUCAUUAACUGAAUCCAUAGGUUAAUGAGGCGAACCGGGGGAACUGAAACAUCUAAGUACCCCGAGGAAAAGAAAUCAACCGAGAUUCCCCCAGUAGCGGCGAGCGAACGGGGAGGAGCCCAGAGCCUGAAUCAGCAUGUGUGUUAGUGGAAGCGUCUGGAAAGGUGCGCGAUACAGGGUGACAGCCCCGUACACAAAAGCGCAUGUGCUGUGAGCUCGAUGAGUAGGGCGGGACACGUGGUAUCCUGUCUGAAUAUGGGGGGACCAUCCUCCAAGGCUAAAUACUCCUGACUGACCGAUAGUGAACCAGUACCGUGAGGGAAAGGCGAAAAGAACCCCGGCGAGGGGAGUGAAAAAGAACCUGAAACCGUGUACGUACAAGCAGUGGGAGCACAGGUUUACCUGUGUGACUGCGUACCUUUUGUAUAAUGGGUCAGCGACUUAUAUUCUGUAGCAAGGUUAACCGAAUAGGGGAGCCGGAGGGAAACCGAGUCUUAAUUGGGCGUUAAGUUGCAGGGUAUAGACCCGAAACCCGGUGAUCUAGCCAUGGGCAGGUUGAAGGUUGGGUAACACUAACUGGAGGACCGAACCGACUAAUGUUGAAAAAUUAGCGGAUGACCUGUGGCUGGGGGUGAAAGGCCAAUCAAACCGGGAGAUAGCUGGUUCUCCCCGAAAGCUAUUUAGGUAGCGCCUCGUGAAUUCAUCUCCGGGGGUAGAGCACUGUUUCGGCUAGGGGGCCAUCCCGGCUUACCAACCCGAUGCAAACUGCGAAUACCGGAGAAUGUUAUCACGGGAGACACACGGCGGGUGCUAACGUCCGUCGUGAAGAGGGAAACAACCCAGACCGCCAGCUAAGGUCCCAAAGUCAUGGUUAAGUGGGAAACGAUGUGGGAAGGCCCAGACAGCCAGGAUGUUGGCUUAGAAGCAGCCAUCAUUUAAAGAAAGCGUAAUAGCUCACUGGUCGAGUCGGCCUGCGCGGAAGAUGUAACGGGGCUAAACCAUGCACCGAAGCUGCGGCAGCGA